UUGGCUUUUAAAUGGAGUCUGGAAUGAAAGGGAAAUUGGAGUUUAACUUUUUUAUUAAAAUUUUAUUGAAUUUACUAUAAAAGUGAAAAAGCUUUUUUAUGAAAAAAGACGAGAAGACCCUUGGAGUUUACUUUAUUUUUGUUGGGGCGACAUUAAAAAUAAAACUUUUAUAUUUAUACUAAUCAACUUUUAGUUAUAAUUUAUAAACUACCCAAGGGAUAACAGCAUAAUUCUUUUGAGAUUGUGACCUCGAUCGUUGGUACUAGGCAAAGAUCAAUUACUAGUAGUUAUUAUUUUAGGUUCUGUUCGAACUUAUUUCUCCU
This 323-nucleotide ribosomal RNA is filed under the name Runcina adriatica. Its description in RNAcentral is "partial 16S ribosomal RNA". The record is from RNAcentral. Lineage: Eukaryota; Metazoa; Mollusca; Gastropoda; Runcinacea; Runcinidae.